Molecule: long non-coding RNA, 14528 nt
Filed under: Heterocephalus glaber (naked mole-rat)
Lineage: Eukaryota; Metazoa; Chordata; Mammalia; Rodentia; Bathyergidae
Description: lncRNA (ENSHGLG00100048140.1)
Source: RNAcentral
GAUGCUGUAUGGCUGGAGAAGCUCCUGCCAGCCCCUGCUCUCCUUUUGUGGCAUUUUUCUUUAUCCCAAGAACUUGACUAAUAGUCUAGUCUGGGUUGUCCCUUUGAGGAGGCUUGUUGCUCUCUCAAUUUUCCCAGGCCCGGUGAUAUCCCUGAAGGCAGGUACAGGCAUGCUGCAGAAAUCUGGAGGCCUGCCCAAAAGUAUGUCUGUUGUUGGUGAAGGGGCAAUGUAGCAAUUACAUGAGUAAUGCGGUGGCAGGUCUAUGGGAAAUCAGAGCUGGAGAAAGAGGGCUGUUCUUGAAGGAAGGGUGGUGGGUGAACAAACCCUUGCCUUGCGAACCCUGUCUUCUCCUUCCCCUUCCCCCAAUCCCAGCUCCUCUCUCACCAAACAUCCUUUCAUGCUCACCCCACUCUGGUACUCAAGGAGCUGUGGAAAUGAGAAGGAAGCGGUUGCAGGUCAACAGUGGGCUUCCUCAGAGCCACUGACAGGUCCCUUCUGGCGGGGCUGGCUCCAGGGGCGGGAGCUGAAGACAGACCUUGGAGUCUGACCACUUCUGAGGGCAGCAGCCCGGCUCCUGGUGGCCCCGGCAGCAGUUUUCACAUCCAUUUUUCUCUCAUGAAACUACUUCGGGUGGAAAAUCAAAUUUCAUCAGCUACUCCAGUGAUUUUUCAGCAAAGGAAGAAUCUGAAAUGUUUUGGCUAUCUGGAGAAUCUGUAGCUAGAAUACAGGUGAGCACCCUACAAAAGAAGGACGAUCCAUUGAAGAGAAUCUUAUAACCAGGUGAGCAAUUUGUGAAGUGCUGAAGAGAAGGCCCACAUAGCUCAGGGACAGAAAUCCGCAAAGAACCACUUGUCGCCAACUCUUCAAUAAGAGUCCUAUGCCCUUGUCCACCCCUGGCUUCCUCCUUUGUAGAAAUGAGCAUAGCCAUUUUUGCGAGUUAUUUAUUAUCAUAAGGUCUGUUUAACAUGUAUAGUGCAGUGAUUAAGGAUGCUGGCUUUGGUGCCAGAAAGAAUUGGACUUCAAUCUUGAUGGUGCUACUUAUUAACUGUCACUUUGAUCAAAGAAACUCUUUAUGUCUUUUCUUAUCCAAAAAUUGGGGAUAAUUAUUGCACCUACCUAAUAGGGUCUUUAUGAAGAUUAAACAAGAUUACCUGGAACAUCACAACUGCUUAAUAAUAUUAGCUAUUAUUUGGAAGUACUAUCAUCUUCUUGUAGGAAAAAAAGUAAUUAUAAAAAAUCCAAAUUAUUCACACUGGCAGGUAAACUUGUCAAGGUAUUUUCAAUUUUAAGUAGGCUUUAAGUAAGUUGUCAUUUUUAAAUGAGCACAGUGUGCCAAAUGAUCUGCUAUUUAGUUGACUCACCUGCACAAACCGAUUAUUUUUACAUGCCUUUACAAUUGCAUCCUUCAGUAUUAGAUCAUAUGCAUGAUCUCUCUCCUCUCUCUCUCUCUCUCUCUCUCUCUCUCUCUGACUCUUAUCUUACUCUGAAAUACUGGGACUGGACAACAUUCAAAGGAAGCAUUAUUAAAAUAUCAAGUCUUCAACCAGCCAGACUGCAUAUUCUUUAGGAUUCUCAGCCACGUUUGUGUUCUUCCAUAAUGUAAAUUGCAAAUGAAUAACCUCAGCUUCUUGGGUGCUUAUUUGUAAAUGAGACCUAGAAAGACAUUUUAUAAAUGACUGAAACUAAUGAUUGAAGGAAAGAUAAGGUCUUAAACAAGUGGUGUACAGAGAGUAAAGAAGAAGAAAGGUUAGCCAGCAGGAUGCCCUGUGCGCAAGUGACUGAGGCAGGGAAGCACAGCCUGGAAGAGUCAGAAAUUAUGACGCCAGGAGUGGAAAAAUAAAGGCAGGGCACAGAGAGGCUGCUGAGCCAAGACAGGAAGUGGCAGAUGGUCAUUUUGGUUGCUGGUUCUCAAAAAGCAAGCCAUGUGGGCGCCCCGCCAUUUCCAUUGCUAAUGCUGGAGAACAGAAGUAGCUUCUGGCUGCUCAUCUCUUGCCCUCCCACCCAUGCCCUUUUUUGACUCUGCCAUCACCCAACUCGCUUCUUGAUUCCCUUUGCUUACUGCUCCUGCCUCACUAAUUAAGAAGAGAGAGCACUGGGGCUACUUGGCUCCAGAGUCACUGAGCAAUGACUCUUUGAGUGGAAGGACAGAUGCGUGCCUACUUCCAGAAAUACAGCCAAAUAUGAUAAGCCUCACUGCCUCUAAAUGGUACUUUUUUGUUUUGUUUUGUUUUUUGUACUGGGGAUCGAAGUCAGGACGUUGCGCUUGCGAGGCAGGUGCAGUGCCACUGAGCUAAAUCCCCGGCCCUGAAUACUACUUUUGAUAUGGAGAAAAAUCACGCUAUGAAUUACAUAAGAAUAAACUAUUUUUAACAACUUAAAGUUUAAUUGACACACCAUAAAAUAUACACGUUUUAAAUGUAACACCUUUUUGGCAAAUGUUUAGAGUUGUAUAACCAUCACUACAGUCCAGUUUGAAAACAUUUCCAGCGACCCCAAAUUAAUUAUCAUGCCUAUUUUUCAGCCAAUCCCCUCUCCUAUCUCCACCCCAGGGAACCACUAAUAUACUUUCCAUUUCUAUGGGUUUUCCAUUUAAUAGAAUCCUAUGAUGUAUCUUUUAUAUCUACCUUCUUUGACUUAGCAUUAUGUUUUUGAAGUUCAUUCAUGCUUUAGCAUGUAUCAAUAGCUUGUUCCUUUUUAAUAGCUGAAUAAUAUUCCAUGUCUAUGUACCAAUGGAUGAACACUUAAAUUAUUUCCAAUUGCUAUUAUGAACAAUGCUGCUAUUAUAUACAUUCACACAUAGGUCUAGGUGUGGAUAUAUGCUUUCAUUUCUCCUAGGUAAUUUCUAAGAGCAAAAUUUCUGGGUGAUAUCAUAGGUUUAAUUUUUUUAAGAAACUGCCAGAUUUUUUUUCAAAAUGAAAAAUAUUUUAUACUCCCACCAACUAUAUAUGUGUUCUAGCUGCUCCAUGUCCCUGCCUACACUUUUUAUUGUCUGUUUAUUUUUUAGCUAUACCCAUUCCAUGUGAUCAUAAGUGUUCUAUGGUGACAAGACCCCACAUAUCAAUUGGCUCUUUGAUAUUCAUACAAGCAGAAAAGGGAUGCUUAGUUGCUGUUUGUUUUAGUCAAAUGAUUAGAAUAAGUAAUAAAGAGAGACAACCUAGCACCAGACAUGGCAGGUGCAGGAGGUUGCUGGCAACUGGCAAUCUUCUGCCAGCUAAAUGGCCAGCUGCAAUUCCUCCAUUGGUCAACUGCAUUGUGCCCGAUGCUUUCAGGAUAAGUCUCUCAUAGCCUCAGACGUUGUUUAAAGUUGUUUUCUAUUUUCUUCCCAAAACAGUAAGAUUGAGUGAAAGUUAUAUAUCCAGAGCAAAAAAGCAAAGGACCCCAAGUUUGCCCAUAUUCUGUGUAUGAAAUGAGCAUUUUCCUAUUUCUUGUACUGUGAAACUUAUAAUUCCUAAGAUAGACCAUCUUCACAAGUGAAGAAGCACAGACACAGAGAGGUUAGGUAAAUUGCAAAAGGUCACACAGACAGCGAGUGAAGCUGGGAUUCAAGCCCACCUCAUCUAAUUUCAAGUUGAAUUUUAAUUCACUGUGCUGAGAAUAAAUAAGUGAUGGAGAAAACUUUUAAAGAUCAGGGAAAUUUCCAUGGAAAGUAAAUGUAAAUAUUUGCUAAUAAGGAAUUAUAACAAGAGAUUUUACAACUGCUCAGUAUACAGCCAAUGGAUAGCUUGUGGUAGAGGGCUUCCAUUCAUGGUGCCAUAUGCAGAAGCAAAUUCAAAUCCUGGGGACUCAGAGUCAAACUGGCACUUUGGGAGAAAUGUGGAGGAGUGGGAUUCUGGCUUAUUGAAAGGGCAUUUUGAUUUUCUCCUAACUAAGAAAAGAUUGUUCAUUCCGUGCCUACACAGUUAGUGCAGAGAAAAUGCAGACAUUUUUACCACCCAAGAUGAGAAACUGAGAAGUUCCAGAAUUAAACUGGUACACUUUUUUGAGUAAUAGUUCUGCUUCCCUCAGGGAAAAGGAAUCUUUUCUGAUGUCAUUGCCACCCACCACCACCUGGCAUCUCUGCGUGGCUGCUCCAGAGCAGCAUAUAGAAGGAGUGGGGCCUUCAGCAGAAGUUGCAGGGCGCUUGGAGAAGUCUUUCCAGCAGGCACAUUCAGAUUUCAUAGUGGGCGCUCCUUAAUCUGACUUUGGAAGGUUGGAUCUAUGCAUCUCUUGCCCCAUUUUCAUAAAUGUUUAUAUGUUCAUGAUAGGAGGAAAAGUGACACUUUAUUGUCAGGGUGUCUACUUUCAUGGGCUCCCCUGUUCCUUCUAGAAUCAAGCCAGGGCUGUUCUUGCUCAGGUUGGUGAUCAGAGGGACAGGAGAUGAGAAUGUGAGUAAUAUGCUGUGAAGUUAAUGUUUCUCUUUCCAACAACCAACACAAACUCAGGUAACUGGGGAUUACGGAGUAUUUGGAUUUUUAACAAUUAAGUCUUCAAAUUUUAGGGCUUUAAAUUAAAUCCUGACUCUGGCAGCACUUGUUACUUGGCUCAUCUCAUAUACUUAAUAGCUCUUAUCUUCUAAAGGGAAUAAAAGUCCCAGUUAACACUGCAGGAUCUACAAGUGAAAGGGGAAACUAGCAAAAGUGGCUAAAGGUGUUUUGCCACAGCAAAUUCUUACUGGUGUACUUAUUACAAGCAAUAAUAAUGUGAUGUAGGCCAAUGUACUUCCCAAAGUGUGUUUGAAAAGAUAUUCACAGGUGACCUGUAUGGGGUGGAAGACCCUAACGCCAUAAUCAAGUACGUUUUGAAACAGAAGAUUUCUUUGUUGAACAAGAAAGAGUCUUUACUACAUUAAAUGUGCAUUCUGGGCCUCUGUUGCGGUUUAUAUGUGGCUGUCACCCCAAAGCUUCCUGGGCUCAGAAGCAGGGCUCAUAGGAGGUGACUGGAUUAAGGGGACAUUAUAUCUAGCUUGCUGUUAGGAGGAGGAGCCUCGUUUGAAGAGGUGUGUCUGGGGGCGUGGCCUGGAAGGGUUAAUCUCACUCUCCAGCUCCUCCCAUCUAUCCCUGCUUCCUGUCCAGCAAGCCGUGAGCAGCAUUCUUCUGCCAUGUCCUUGCCAUGCUGUCCUGCCUUGGAGCCAGCCAAUUCUGGACUGAAAUAUGAGUCAAAAUAAACCUCUCCCCCUUAAGUUGUGGAUGUUGGGUAUUUUGUUCCAGCAAAAAGGGAAGUAACAGAGACAACCUCCAAAGGUGAGAUGCUGUGUAGAGUUCUGUGAGCUGUGAGCUGCUUGAAAAGAAAAAUUCUCAGUCUCAGAAACAUUUUGUGAGACAGUUUGGAAAAAGGUGGCAUAGAAAGUGUACAGGAGUAUAGUUUCUUGUCUAUCUAAAGUCUUCAUAUCCAGCUAGCCCCUGCUAUCAUCUCGGCUCCAUCCUAUUUUUCUAAGAGCUCCAAAGAGGCCCCAUUCUGGUUAACCAAAGAACAUGGGAUAUUCUGAAACAGGAACAAUGUCCACGACCCUAUUUUUACCUGAAUUGUCUUUUCAUAGAGUAGAGGAGGACAGGCUGAUUGAGGUACUAGUUAAUGAUGAUUUGGGGCAAAGGGGGAAGUCUUCAGUAAACAACAAAACUAACUUAUAUGAUCACUAAAUGUAAAUAUAACUUAUUUGGACCUGAAUUCAACAAAACAAAUAUAGGAAGACAUUUUAAGUACAGAGAAAGUUUGAAUUCUAAGGAAUUAUUGUUUAUUUUUGUUAAGUCUAAUAAUGGUAUCAAGUUAUAGAAAAGAUUUUAAGAGAUAUGUAUACAAACAUUUAGUGUGAAAUAUGUUGCCUAGAAUUUGCUUUAAAACACCUCAAAAACACGAAGCAAAUAAGGCAAAUGUUAAUAACUGCUCAAUCAAAAUAAUAGGGUAUGUGAGGGUUUUAAUGAUAUUUUCUAUGGGUUUUAAUUUUUUCAUAAUAGAAAAAUUUUAAAUGCACAUUUAUCAGCCCCCAAUCUACCAAAUCAAAGUUGCUAGAGAUUGGGUUGGGAACUUGCUAUUUCUCUCUUUUUCUGGCUCCUCUCUCCCUCCUUCCUCCACCUUGUUUCUCUCCCCUCCCCCUCCCUCUCCCCUUCCCCCUCUCCCUCCAGCAAGAUUUUUUGGUUGGGGAAGCUGAGUCACUGGCUGCCUCUGACUUAUAAUCUGUGCACCUCAUCCAGACAUCACAACCCAGUACGUGGUUGUCAAGAGCCCUCAAAGCAGUGAUAUAGGCAUGUGAGAUACUUGGAACAUAGCAAAAAGCCCAUUUAUUGCCCAGAUGUGCAGGUUGAGGCUGCAGAUGCUAACUCAGAGAUCAGCCAUCUCAUUAAACAAGUAAGUUCAGCAUGGCUUUUUAUUACUGAUUAGUUCUGGUGUUUGCUGUUAGUAAUACAAACACAGCUGCACAUCUUUGAAUUAAAAAUGAGCAAGUGAAUAAUCAUUUACCAUAAUUAUAAGAUAGUCAUAAAAUUAAACAAAAAGCAAUGAAAUGUUUUACAAAUAAAAUAUUUUAAGGCAAGCAACACAAAUAAUAACUAAUCAAUUUCUAACGUGUACCAAGAUAUAAGUUCCUUAGAGAGAGUGGAACUACUCAGGUUUAGCAUAAUAUAGUUAUGUGUUAUACUUCACAUACUAAAUGACUAUCUACCUUCAGAAAGGACAUUUUUAUUUAAGUAUCUUUUAAAUGAAUGGACUGAUAGCCACCAAAAUUCAUUACUUACAGAAUCCAUGCUAUUAACCCAUAUCAUCUGUACUUUCAAAAAUCCCUAUUGUCAUACUUUUGAAAUGUUAUGGAAGGUUUACAGAACUUACCUGAGCUCUGCCUGCAGUUCACAUAGUCUGCAUAAAGUGGAGAAGUGGAGUGCCACAAUGAUUAGCCAUUACCUCAGCCAUAACAGCCACUAAAUAUACAUUUGUGAGCUCUUUUGGUUUUUCUACAUUGACAUGAAUAUAAAACUACAUUGCAUAUAUAAUGACAUUUUCAAACACUAAAAUAAUAGAUAGCUUUUUUUUUUUUUUUUUUUUUUUGUACCAGGUAUCAAACUCAGGUCCUUGCACUUUCCCUGCAGGCAGCAAAACCACUGAGCUAAAUCCCUGGCCCUAGAUAGCUAUUUUUUAAGGUGCUUAUCUGUUACCACCUAAACUCAUGUGGCAUACCACAAAUAGUGCUCUUACUACAUCCUGGGAUGCCUUAAUCUAAUUUAGGAAUGAAAAGAAUAAAUAUAUCAGAUUCUUUGUUAAUAAGGAAGAAAGAGAAAAUAAUUAUUCCUCAAGGGAAAGAACUACGCUGUAAUUAUGUCUGCAUGACCUGUACCUAGCACAGUGUCUAAAACAUAUUAGGCAUGCAAUGCAUAUCUGUUGGAAUAAAUGAAUGAAUGCUUAUCAUAUUUUGGAAUUAUCUCUAUCCCCUAUUCCCAAAACCAAUUAUUUGUCAAGGUAAAGGCUUUAAUCAAAGCUCUUAGUUCAUGAAAAUUAAAUUGCUGGGCUUGGCCCCUUUUGUAAGAAAUGUAAAACUCAUGAAAUUCAAAUACUCUUGGGAAAUCCAAACAUAUUUUCAUUUACCAAUGUCUACUUAAAAAGGCAAAAAGAAAAAAGCAAAUAAAUUGACAAAAAUACAUGAAUAUUAGCUUUUCAUAUUUUUAAAACACUAGAAAAGAAAAUGGGAAGCUGCCUCUCAUGAAUCUGGAAGCACCUUAGUAAAGCUGAAUGAAUGCACUCAGAAAGAACAGACUUGUAUCCUGGUCUGCCACUAGCUAGGGGUGUGUAACCCGGUAAAGUCACUGCAUUGCUCUGAGCCUCAGCUUUUCAUCUAUAAAAUGAAAAUUAUCAUCAUAAUCACUUAAAUAUGUAGAUUAAAAUAUCUAUAAGUUUCCUUUCAGCUGUAAAAUACAGAAGCUAUUUUCCAAUUUUCCUGUUCCCACAGCUUACUAAUCAGUGCUUGGUGUUAAAGCUCCUACUUCAUCACCAGUAUAGAGCAGGUGGAGCCUGACAUGGCCCUGAUCUUGGGCCCAGUGUCAUUGUGAGCGACAUGAGCCUCGGUACAGGCAAACCUAGCUAUUUGGCAUAUCAGUACAAGUUCUUGGUUGUCUAAUUUUUUAAAAAGUAUGUUUAGAAAACAAUUUAAAUGCUCUCAUUUCCUUUAAUGUUUUAAAUGCAUUUUACCAUGCGGCGGUGUAGCUUUUAAGAACACAGUCUGGGCAGUCAGAUUGUUUAGGUUUUAAUCUGGCUUUAAAAAUCAGGACAGCUUUAAAAAUUGUGCCUCAGUUACUUCAUCUUUUUAAAAAGGGGUUAAUUUUUUUAAAGAACUUCCCUGCUUCAAAAAGAUUUGUUGAGCAGCACAAGAAUUAAAUGAAAAAAUACUUCCAAACCACUUGAGUAAUCACUCACAAAAGCAGCUAUAUUGAGCUCUUGCAUAUAUAUAUUCUUUAUCUAGGAAGACAUUCCUAUUUUCCUGCUAAAAACAUCAUAAAAGCCAUUCUUUUGGGGUGACUUGUGUUGAAAAUGGCUCAGGAGGUCCAUGUGUUGGCUAGCAUCCUUUUGUGAGCUGGAUAAUGCCCAUGAUUAAAAAACUAGAAAGUGCUGUUUAUUAUAUGUAAGGUCCAGUGUGAGGAUAAAAUCUAGAGGGAAAAGACAAGAAUGUGGGCUGUGAUGCCAGAAGUUCUCUCAGUGCUGCGACACACAAUGCUCAUUUCCUGUGAGUCUACGAUGAUGUCCCCACUCAGGCACCUUGAGAGUGAUGGCCUACAGGGAUAGUAGAGAGCCCCUUUCUACAAGGCUGGGAAAGGAAAGUCAGACAGAGGCAGCUGUAGAGGAAAAAGAACAACAAAAAAGAAAUUCACCUGGCACCAUCUCUCACAAUAAUAAACAUUUUAAUAGUAAUUAUACUUCACAAUUAAGAUUAAUUUUUUUAUUAAAAUAAUUGGCCAGCAAUUCUAUUUGUAUAUAUCUCACAUUGAAAGGAAAAAUAAGUUUAAAUAAAAAACCAGUACAUUAAAAUCUGGUUUUACUCUGUAAUUAACUGAUGUACUCCCAUUUAAUAUAUAUGAAGUAUGAUCAAAAUACAGUCAAUGUUAAAUUCUUAAAAAGUAUCACAGGGGCCGGAUUUAGCUCAGUGGUUUUGCUGCCUGCUGCACAAGCGUUCAAGGACCCGAGUUCAAUCCCCGCUACCAAAAAAAAAAAAAGGUAUUACAGUGAAGACACAUUGCCAUUAAUCACUUCUCAAAAAACUCCCCCCUGAUUCAAACAUGCUCAUCCCACCAUUCUCGCCACUUUUGCAGCAGCUCUGGAAGUCCUCUUUCAUGAAUGUCUUUAGUUGUGCUAUUGUGGCUGCCUCGAUGUCCUGAAUAGAUUGAAAAUGUUUGCCUUUCCACGGUCACUUUGACUUUAGGGAAAAGCCAGCAGUCACACAGUGCCAGGUCCAGUGGACAAGGUAGAUGAGAAGACACAGUAAUGUUUUUAUGAAUCUUUUUAUCGUAUGGCAUCCAACAGCAGCAUUCACUGUGUUUUUGAUCAUACAACAUGAAGACACUUUUAGGGGGAGUAUUCUGAGGAGGAUUUAUGGCAAUGUGUAUUUUACCAAAAUAAUUUAAUUUAACCACUUGCCAGUCCAAUUAUUUAAAUACACGAUUUGCAUAUUUUGUUAAUUUUUAUAACAAAAUUGCAUAUUUUCUUAAUUUUCAUAAUAUAGCAGGAAAUACAAAAAUGACAAUUUCAUCAAGUUUAUUCAAUACAAGAAUCAACUGGUUGAAACGACACCUGCCUGAGGAUUGCUGAGGAUAGUCAGUACAUAAAUGCGCUGUCCGGGCGAUGCUGGGGUAAACUGUUGAGUGGUUAAACAUUCAUUGUAUGUUUUGAUCGUGCUUUGUAAAUGAAGGAUAUUAAAUACAUGUCAUAUGUAAUUCCUUUAUUUUAGGAAAUAUAUAUUAUAUGUACAUAUUUUAAAUAGUAACAGGAGUGAUAUCACUGGCUAGAAAUAGUGACUGAGAAAAAACUGACCUAAUGGCACGUUAUGAGCCUACAACUGUACAGUUAACAACAACAUUUUGCUGCUACACACACUUCCAGUGCAGGGCAUCCAAAAGCAAAUUAAAAGGAAUAGAGAACCAGGAAAACAAUUUUCCCUACUGAUUGGCAGGAGAAAUCACAAAACUAAAGGGAUGUCAUCUUGAAGUAGGAAUUACAAAAAAUAAAGGCUAAAUUCACAAGUUAAUGCCUUUACAUUUUCAUGAAUGUAAUCCAUAAAUCCAACUAAAAAGUAUUUUUAAGAACCAUCCUAAUUGGACUCAUCUUUCCCCAAAUCCCUCAAAAGUAGCUGUAGUUUUAGUAGUUGUAGUUUUAGUAGCUGUCCUUUCUUGAACUUUGAGGACAUUUAUUUGUGAGUUCUCUGAGAUGCUGAGAAUAAUAGGGAUAGCUUUGAUCUAAGAAACAGUUUGCCAGAUUCUCUCCAUGGGUAAGGAGGGCAGUGAGACUGGACCACAAGGACAUCCUUCCUCCACUCCUGGGAGUCUUGGUGCGGGGCGGUUCUGCAUUGUUUUCAUUCUUGCUCUGGAAGCCACAGCUGACACGAGUCUUGUGACUUGCGGGGUUUUAUAACCUGGCUCCUGCAGUGAAGUACAAAACCUCUGCGACAAAGACAAAGACAGCUCCAGGGACUGCCGGUUUCCCCCUUGAACUGGCAAACUUUCUCCUUUGUACUAUGUGUAUGGCUCAAAUGAAGUAAUUGGAAACUUGAAAGAAAAAAAACUAAGACUGAGUGGCACAUAGAAUGCAGAGGCAUGUAGCAACUUAGCUGAGAGCUUUUGUCAUCCCUCCUUUAGUCUGAUCAGUUUGAGACACAGGCAAACUUAAGCUGUUGGAGUGGAAGCCAAGUCAUCAAGCACUGCCCUGUUGGCUCCUGCUUGCCAAACCACCUCACAUAAUUCUUUGUAAUGAUCUUUUAAUAGCCCUACCCACCAGAAAUGGGCUGAGAAUCUUGUCCCCAGCCCUUCCUGUCCCAUAUACAUAUCUGGGUUUGAAUCAGCUUGAGUGGGCACAUAUCUUGGGUACUUCCCUUACAUUUCAGAUGCAUAGUUUCCUCUGCCAAUGAAGUGGAUGCCCCAGUGGGAGUCCUUUUUAUUUAUAAGUAAAAACUGGGUGUUUACAUGUUUUAAUAGGACCGUUUUCUUUUUAAAAUAUUAUUUAGAAAUUCAACUAUUGGCUUUGGGCAACUUGUCUGUACCCUGGUUCCCUUAUUUGUUAAACAUGAAUUAUAAGAGUACCUAUCUUAUAUGGUUGUGGUUAUGAUUUAAUGAGAUAAUAAACUUAAACUUGGUACAGUACCCAAAACACAAUAUAUGAUCGAUAAUCAACUUAUAAUAUUAAAUGUACUGCAUUCCUGAAACAACCAUUAAAUUUGUCAUUCAUUGAAUAAAAUAUGUCAUUUUGUAUUUACCUAGAAGUGUCACCUUUCAAAGUCAUGGAUGGGUCAGUGUAGUGGGGAUGAAAUAUAUCCCCAUGUAUAUAAAAUAUGUGGAUGUUCAUUAGGCAAGAUCAAAAGAGCAAAGCUAUGAAAUGGGAGGUAGAAAUUGGGAUCAUGUAUAUUAUAUUCAGUCUUUAUUCCGUGUUUUCAGAGCUGCUCUCCAACAUAUUUAUGGAAAUGUAAAUUAAGACUAUGAUUCAUUUAUACACAAUUAGAUUGAUGUAGCAGUUUCUGGGUACUAAAUGGAAUUAUGUUAUUUAGCAAAAGUGGGAGUUUCUAUUGCUUUACUUUAGUUGAAUGGCCUCUUUUUAACUAAAUUAAUAAUCAGUUUUAGUUAUUCUCUUCACAUCACAGGAAAUAAAAAAUAGACAACCUUUCUCCAAUUUGAAUUGGAUGUGCUGACGUCAAUGUCCUUAUUGUGAUAAAAAGAUUACUAAUCACAUCAUAACACACUCCUCUUUCCCCACAUGUUUUUCCCCAUUGGAAGAGGGUGGUAGAAUUCUAGUACCUGAAGUAUUUGGCAGCUCCAAAUUAAACAUUUCAAAAUCUGGCCUCUACAUCUAAAAUUUGCUUUAGCAUAAUCCUCAGCAGGGCAGCUCCCCAUAUGGCCAUGAAUGGGUGUCAGAAUUACUUGGAGUUUGUUACUGUGAUUUUAAGACUCUCAGCCCUGUCACCAGUUCUUAAAUGGUUCUGAUAAGAGCCAGAUUUGGAAACUACUGUCUAAAAGAAAUGAGAUAAUAAGUCUAAGUGGCAAUCAGGCAAUAUUUGAAAAAGGUAAUUAAUGAUCUAAUCUUUUGUAGAUUUUAUAGUGAUAUUUUUAGAGCUAUUUGGUGGUUUUGCUUUCAUGCAAAUGUCAAUAUAUUUGAACACAAAUGCCAGGGAUAUGAUUAACAAUGAAAGUACAGAGAUAAGAAAGUGGCAAUACACAAUAUGAAUGUGAUCAAUAUAAUUUAUGGUAAUAAUUUUUGAUAAUCCUAAUCAUUUCAAGGUUUAAUUUUACAUAUUUGGCAGUAUUUGUUUAAAACAUAGUUUAAUCUAUUAAAUACAUUUUUACUAAGCCACUUAAAAAUAAAACAGCAUCAAAGUAUGCUAUAUACAUGUAUGAAUAUGCCAAAAUGAAACACACUAGUGUGUAUUACUAAUAUGCACUAGUUAAAAAAUAAAAUACAGAAAAUUAGGUAAUUGUAACUAUUAUCCAUUGUAAGAGCUAAUUUCCACUCAUUUUUGGUUAAAUUUUAGAGUUUUUUCUUUGUUAACAUACUUCUAAUUUUAGUUCAAUAAUUUAAUUCUUCAUUGCUAUUAACAAGUGAAAAACUUUCCAAAUCUUUUCUUCUUUGGAUUAAUUAUUAUUUAAUAGAGACUAAGAUAAAUCUUGUCCUACCUCUACUGACAAAGAUGUGUUCUACCAUAGUAGAAAUUUUAGUCAGAGGUAGAAGUUUUACCAAUGCAAAAAGCAAAAACUUUGUCAGAUAAAAAUAACUAUCCUAUUUACCUUUUCCCCUUAAAAUCACCACAUGCUAAAAAAAUAAAAGCAACAUAAGAAGACAUAAAAUGUAUAUUGAGCAUCUUGGGGCUGAGGAAAGACCUGAGUAAAAUGUGGGGAAACAUAGAGGCAGAAAAAAAUAUAAUUUCUAAAUUUCUAGAAGUUAUGUCUUAUGCAGGUAUGCAUUUAUUCAACACUCAUUGGUAUCUAAAAAAAAAUUGAGCCCAAAUAUGGACAGAUCAGUCCGGAGGUCCCCAAAACAUGAUCCUUCGCCCCCAGUGACUUUGUAACAGGUGCUUGACAGCUCAGCUGGCAUCAUCGGAAGGAUCCUGCCCACCAUGACUCAUGGGAAACUGAAUAUGUUUUACAUCAGUAGUUCUUAAACUAGGGCAAUGAUUCUUCAUUGUGGGGGCUGCAUUGUAGUAGAUUUCACAGCACUAGUCUCUAUCCACUAGAUGAAGUGCCUAGAGCACUGACAUUCUCUCCUUCACAAAGUUACAACCCAAAAUACCUCUAGACACUAAUGUUCUCCAGGGGCAAAACCUAUCUCUGCUUGAGGACCACUAGAAGUAUCAAAGUAUGGGUGUGAGGAUUCCUCUGCAUCACAAAUAGCUCCCAUCUUCUGAUGCUACAGUUGCUGUAAUAAAUUCCUGUACCUGUCUUUCACACAACAAUAAAUUAAAAAGCUUAAACUAAACUGGGUAUGGUGGCACAUGCCUAUAAUCCCAGCACUCAGGAAACAGGAGGAUAGCAAGUUUGAAGCCAUCCUGGGCUAUGUGGCAAUACCCUGCCUCAAACAAACAAAUCAACAAAUAAAUAAAUAGCAAGUAAACAAAAGGCUAAAGGAGUUAACUAAUGAAUGAUGGAGGCAGCCUUGGAAGAGCUAGGAGAGCUGGGGAUACAGAGCUUUGGUAGCAGACUGACUGAGUAGAGCCAGGAGAGCUUGGUCUGAAAAAAAAGAUAAGGAAAGUCUGGAAGUGGAGAGGACUGAAGCUCCACGAGGAAAUGCCUGACUUAGUCUGCCCUGAAGGCCAGACACUUCAGGACAAAGAGCUUGGGCACCACUGUGUAUUUCUGUAAGGCCCUUGGGCAUCUGUAACCCAAGGCUAAUGAUGGGGGCUCUUUCAAAGAGCUGUUGGGAGGAUUCCACAAGGUCACGAGGACAAGCCUCCUUGGAGUGACCAGCUCAGGGAAGGGCGAGGUUGAUUCUUGAUGUGAGUGGAGCAAGCCAGCUGGAGCUGUAAACAUCUGAACAGCACUGUGGUGACAAGAAAGCCAGCCAGAGAGGGCUGAAUAAGAAGUUGGCCCUGCAUCUGUGAGACCACUGAUGGAACUGUUGUCUUGGUGAUGCGCCUGACUAAUGAGCUCAUUUAUUCCAUGUUCUUUUGGCUUCCUCAGUGACUUUAAAAGGGAUGAUUGUGCUGACCUGGAUUUUGAGAUUUUUUAAGAAAGCCGGAUUAGAAGGUCAAAAGGAUCAGAACAUAAGACUACCCCAGGGAUUAAACUGUAAGGGAAAGAAGUAAAGGUGGAUAAUAAACUGAGAGAAAAACUGAGGAAAAGGUCUGGGGACUGACAGUCUCCAGGUGAAAAGCAGGACUAGUG